GACGAACGCUGGCGGCGUGCCUAAUACAUGCAAGUAGGACGAGUUGCGAACGGGUGAGUAACGAGUAGGAACCUACCUAUUAGAGGGGGAUAACAAUGGGAAACGAUAGCUAAUACCGACUACUCGUAGAUGGACCUGCGUGGUAUUAGCUAGUAGGUAGGGGAAUGGCCUACCUAGGCAACGAUACAUAGCCGACCUGAGAGGGUGAUCAGUCACACUGGAACUGAGACACGGUCCAGACUCCUACGUGAGGCAGCAGUGGGGAAUAUUGGACAAUGGGCGAAAGCCUGAUCCAGCCAUGCCGCGUGUGUGAAGAAGGUCUUCGGAUUGUAAAGCACUUUAAGUUGGGAGGCGUUACCCACAGAAUAAGCACCGGCUAACUUCGUGCCAGCAGCCGCGGUAAUUC
RNAcentral lists this ribosomal RNA (406 nucleotides) under uncultured bacterium. Its description in RNAcentral is "partial 16S ribosomal RNA". It matches the Rfam family "Bacterial small subunit ribosomal RNA", at positions 28 to 526 of the family's 1533-position model. The record is from RNAcentral.